AAAUGUUUGAUUAAAUGGAUGAAAAAGAGAAGUUUCUUCCCUGUAAUUAUCACUUUUUAAAAUCUGUAGCAACUUCAAGUCUGUCAGCGUGCUGAGGUCACAGAAACAAGAAAAGCAGCUUCAGACUUCAGAGUGUUGUUUACAGUUUUCUGUCAUCAUGAUCUCCCCUGAAGUUUAUCAAGCAAGCAGAGCAGCAGUUUGUGCUCACAGAUGGUGACGGUGUGGAGAGACGGUGGUGUUUCCUCAGAAGAACUAGCAGAGUCACAAAGGGCACGAGUCCUUCUCACCACCUUGACUUGUUGAUCAGUGGAUACACUUGUCUCCCCUUUAAAGGAGACACUCUUAGAGAGAGACGAUCCGAGUCAUCCUUAAAUAUGGGCAGGAUAUCACUAUUGGACUGUCUAACCUGCAGGAGCAGCACUGAAUAACCACUACACAUGAGCAUGUUCCUGCAACAUUCAGCAGCUCUGCUUUUGUGUCAAAUGUCUAACAGCUGGAGAGGAAACUACACCAGUGUACUGGGAUGUUUCAGCAACACGUGCCAGACGCUGUUCCUUCAUGGUGACAUCACCAGAGACAGCCCCGCCCACCUCAGGACCUCGCCAUUGAUCAUGAUGAUUAUAAUGAUGACAGCGAGCAGAACUAAGACUGUAAAAAUCAGAAUAUUUAGAUGCUUUCUAAUUAUUAAUGAAUACUGAGAGCCUCUUUCUGUGUUUUGUCUGUUUUUUUUUUUUUUUACCUCAUUUGUUACUAACAAAGUUCACCAAACUCACACAGUUUACAUUCUGUAUGUUUCCAUCUUUACCAGCCACACUCUACCUGCAAUUAAGCAAAUAAUCCUUAGAAAUCCUCGUUUUUCUCUUUUGUAAUUGAUGAUAAUUCAGUGAAUAUACUGCGCUGCUUCCUUUUAUUGCGUCACACAUUGCUUUAAGUUUUUCCAGUGUCCAGUUAUUUUUUACUGCUGUUUGAAUUCUCUGCAUGUUUGACCCUGUAGACUGUUUGAUGGACUGCUUGUCUUCCUGUUUGUAACCGCCGCCUGUUUUUGACUAAAGAUUUGGAUUUCUGACUUU
Long non-coding RNA from Oreochromis niloticus (Nile tilapia), 1070 nucleotides. RefSeq lists it as uncharacterized. NCBI's taxonomy places the organism in Eukaryota, Metazoa, Chordata, Actinopteri, Cichliformes, Cichlidae. The transcript is spliced from 4 exons. The record is from RefSeq and is a predicted model, not a curated record.